GACGAACGCUGGCGGCGUGCUUAACACAUGCAAGUCGAACGGGUCUGCCCUGUUUUUUGCGGGGUGGGUCAGUGGCGAACGGGUGAGUAACACGUGAGUAACCUGCCCCUCACUUCUGGAUAACCGCUUGAAAGGGUGGCUAAUACGGGGUGUUCUGGCUGUGCCGCAUGGUGUGGCUGGGAAAGAUUCACUUUUGUGGUGUUUUGGUGGGGGAUGGGCUCGCGGCCUAUCAGCUUGUUGGUGGGGUGAUGGCCUGCCAAGGCUUUGACGGGUAGCCGGCCUGAGAGGGUGGGCGGUCACACUGGGACUGAGAUACGGCCCGGACUCCUGCGGGAGGCAGCAGUGGGGGGUAGUGCACAAUGGGCGGAAGCCUGAUGCAGCGACGUCGCGUGAGGGAUGGAGGCCUUCGGGUUGUGAACCUCUUUCGCCGGUGAAGAAGGUCCUGCUCUUUGUGGUGGGGUUGACGGUAGCCGGGUUAUGAAGCGCCGGCUAACUACGUG
This 500-nucleotide ribosomal RNA is filed under the name uncultured bacterium. RNAcentral describes it as "partial 16S ribosomal RNA". It matches the Rfam family "Bacterial small subunit ribosomal RNA", at positions 28 to 507 of the family's 1533-position model. The record is from RNAcentral.